Molecule: long non-coding RNA, 4072 nt
Organism: Homo sapiens (human)
Lineage: Eukaryota; Metazoa; Chordata; Mammalia; Primates; Hominidae
Product: long intergenic non-protein coding RNA 2348
Source: Ensembl
AGUGGCCCAUAGGCUUAGAAACAUGUAGAGUGUGUCCCAGGCAGGGGGCCAGCCUUAAAAAAUGCCAGCCCAUCUCCUCCAUCCACGAUGACAUCACCGGUACGGGCUUGUGUGUAGGUGACCUUUGGUGGCCUGAUCCUCCUGCCCUCUGCCUGGCUCCCUGGGCUCUGGUGGAACACAGCUGCCCUUCCUAAUUUGGUCUUAAUCAGGCUGAGCUAAGCCAGUCUGUAUUUGAGGAGUUGGAAGCAGGUGAUUCGGGCACAAAUUUGAAGGCUGAUAAACGGCAGCCGUCACCCGUGCACUCAGAGCGGCCAGAAGUCCUGCUCCUGGGGAAGGAGGAAGGGCGCAAGGGCAAUGAGCAUGUCGCCUUGCCCUCGGGGUGUGCGGUUUCUGCUCAGCCUCCUCUUGCAGCCUUGUUUCAAGUGUGGGAAUGGCCUCCUGACUCCCAAUCCGAAACAACUGCUGAGCACAGAAGGCAGAGCAGGGCCCUGAGAGUCAGAGGAAAAUGCUGCUGCGGGGACUGGGGAGCCCCAUCGGGUGACUCCCCAGAGAUGUGAGCAGGUGCAGAGGCUGGAACAACAGUGCUGCAGGAAAGUCUCUCCCGUGGAUGCUGUGGCCUGGGGCUUGGGUGACGACGUGCACGGCUGCCUCCUCGCUGUCACGUGCUCUGCUGGCUCGUCUCCAAGCUGUGCUGCUCAUGUUCCAAAGUCUCCCUGGAGGCUUUAGUGAAAAGCCCUUUCCCCGGUGACCUGGAGUGUCUUGCUAGAUGGAGCUGGCCAAGCCUGACGUCUUUUCCUGGCCGAUGCCUCAGUCCUUAUGCAAAGUGUGAACUUGGCCUUUACAUCCUUCUCCGCAGAGCACUGCAAGCAGCCAGUCCCACUGGAACAUAAGAUGAAGCUUUUGUUCCCAUGGCUGGAUACACUUUGGAUCUUGGAAUGCAAUAAUUACUUCAGCUGGAUCUGGUUCGUGGAGUACUUGGCCAGGGCUCUGCCUCAUGCCAUGGUCCUACAAGAUAUGUGAGGAGGUGGACAUCUUUGCGUAGCCCUCCUCCAGAGGCAAGUGGAUUCCUUCCAUAACCCAGAGAAGGCCGCUUGGGAAUGAGGCUGAGAAGCCAGACUUUUUGGCACACAAAGAAAAAGGGAGUUUUCAAAGUUGCCGCAAAUCAUGCAGGAAGAGAAAACAGGACAUUAGUGGACACUGAUUCUUCCCCUCUGCUGAACUCUGAGUCCAGUUUAAAUCUUUAAUAACAUAACACAUGGAGAAAAUUGCUUAUAUAAAAUGAUCACCUUUCUUUUAAAAAAAAAAAAUUAUAGAGACUGGGUCUUGCUCUAUUGCCCAUGCUGGAGUGCAGUGGCUUGAUCAUAGCUCACUGCAGCUUUGAACUGUUAGGCUCAUAUGAUCCCCAUGUCUCUGUCUCCUGAAUAGCUGGGACUACAGGUGGACACUACCAUGCCUAAUUUUUUAGUUUUUUUUUUUUUUGAGAUAGGAUCUUGCUAUGUUGCCCACGCUGGUCUUGAACUCCUGGUCUCAAGCAGUUAUUCUGCCUCAGCCUCCCAAAGUGCUGGGAUUACAGGCAUAAAACACCACACUCAGCCAGAAGAAAUUAUCAUCUUUCUAAAAUCAAACUUCUCUUAUAUUCUGGGAACCUACUGAGGAAGGCACAGAUUUAUCCUCUAGAUGCCAGAAGGCUAGAAUUGGGAAAGCUUCGAAGCUUAAACAGGGCAAAGCGUAGGUCAUAGAAGAAUGUAUUAUCUAUUGCUAUGCAACAAAUUACUCUAAAACUUUAAAAACACAAACAUUUAUUAUCUCUCAGUUUUUCUGGGUGAGAAUCUGGGUAUGGCUUUGCUUGCUGCUUCUGACUCAAGGUCUCUCACCUGUCAAGGCUGCAAUCAAAGUGUCGGCGGGGGCUGCAGUCUCAUCUGAAGGCUUGCCUGGGGAGAACACACUUCCAAGCUCACUGCCAUGGUGGAUGGAAAGCCUCAGGGGUACUGCAAUUGAGGGGAGAAAAUGGCCAACUUGAGCCAGGGUGCAAUGACAUCAAGAGGCCUGGGAGCUGAGGAGAAAAGACUAAGGAGCCUGAGGAAUGGAUGUGGGUCUGGAAGAGAGCUGGAAGAGUACAUGGUCCUGGGAGCCUCCUGGGGAAAGUGCUUUAAGUAGGAGGCAGAGACCAACUGGUUCCCAUGGUGCCAAUGAGUCAUGUGAGAUAAGGACUGAGAGUUGACAUUAGGAGUGGCAGUGGAGGGGCAUGUAGUGACUUUGACUAGAGCUAUUUCCAUGGGAUGAGGAGGGUGAGGGAAGCUGACUAGUGUGGGCUCAGUUUAUGCUGGAGGAGAGGACUGGGAGAAUAAUGCUCCUUCAUGUUCCUCAGUUAUGCUGUAAAGGGGAACGAGAAGCAGUAGCCGGAGAGGACUGGGGGAAGGGGCAUCUAGGUUUCAUCCAUGCAUCUGAUGGGAAUGAUCCUGCAAAGGGGAAAUGAACAAUGCAGGCGAGAGAAGCAAGCCCUGCUGGACACAUCCUUGAGUAGGCAGAAGCCAAUGUCUGGUGCAUAGGCAGAGGGCUGGCUUUAGGUGGGAAGGAUGGGUGGGAAGAUGAGCCGGCAUAGAAGGGGUAGAGGGGGCUUGCAGAAGCACUUUCUGAUGGUGUCUGUCUCUUCACUGAAAUGGGAAGCCAGGUUGUCAUUGUAGCCACCUCCCAGUGGGGCAAAGAGGAGGGAGUGAGAUGCCUCAUGAAAAGCAAUGCUUGGGGUCUGGUGUAGAGUAAUAACUCAGUAAAUCCAUUGUCUUCUUGCUUACCUCUAAGUUAUAGUGAUCACAUUUUCCAGACCAAAUAUCUGAACCUGGAAUCUGGCAGGUGCCUUAGGGGCCAAUGGGUGUGACUGAUUGAAAAAUCAGAAUGUCUCAGAAACACCUAGACUUUUAAUUUCCAAACAACAGACAUGAUAAGCAUCCAGGGCCUGUCAUGUAUAUUAUGGAACGUAAUGCCACUUUCUUUGGCCCUUUUCCAAAGCAGAUGAUAUCCCAGCACCAGGGAAAAUGGUUUCAAUAUCAAGUUGGGUCAGCAGCAUCUUUCUACCUAUUUCUGUCUUCGUGGUCUUUAUAUUUGAAAUAAUCAUUACUAUUUUAUGCAUUCUCUCCCCAUCCUGCAUUACAGAAGGAACGUUCCUAACAAAUGUUUUAUGUUUCAACUGCUAGGAGAUUGUAUUUUUGAAAUAAAAUUUUAGUUAUCCUUUCAUUUUUUGAUCCUGUAGAUACAUACAAAUUUAGAAACUCUGAAAGAACACCUUAAUUUAUAUUCUGUGCCUAUGUGGGUGAGGGAAGAAGAGGCUGUUUGGUAUAUAUUAUAUUUUUAGGUUUUUAAAUCUCUCUUCUUUUUUGCAAAUGUGAUGGAAUGUAACAUUUACCAGAAACUGAGAAUUCCCGAGGCAGUAGCCACAGCAGCAACAGUAACUCUAAGCUGGAGAUGGUCUGCUCUGGUGCCAGAGAGGCCAACCCUUGACUCUACUCUCUCGUGAUCAAUCAGCUGGAAAAUCACCAAUCCAUGGUCCUCCCUUCCCAUAAGUCACAGUCUGAGUAUGGCGCCUGUGGCUGGAACCCUUACGCUCUCCUUUGGGGUGUCUGGGUACCACUCUGUCUGACCCAUGCUCCUGGGCAUUCUGGAAGUCGGGACUCUGCCUUCCUUACCUGUCUGUGCUUGGAACUCAGAGGAUCCUUGUUAUGUAGUAGGUGUAGUGGACAUUGGUCAGUAGGGAGGCCUAUCAUCUUUUUACAAGUGUUCUAGACGUUUUCCCAACCCCCCACUUUGUCAACCCUGCCUUUCACACUGACAUCUUUUCCCAGCCUGAUUUGGCACCUGCCCAUCAGACACCAUGUGAGUCUGUGGCUCAGAAUGGGGUCCGGGACGCACCACACAGGGUGGGCAUCCAUGUGGAGGAUGCAGGAACAGCAUGGUGGAGGCAGGGUGGCCUUGAGGGCAGUAAGGCCAGCUUUGCCAUUCUGUGGUUCGAGGCACAGCCCAGAGCUGAGUCCUUCAAUCCUCCCCGACAGAACUGUGAGAUUUCUCAAACUAAUCAAUA